GGGCGUUUGGCACAGUGGUAGCGCGCCUGCUUUGCAUUCCUUGCAAACUUGCAUGAGGUCGAGGGUUCGAACCCCUCAACGUCCA
Non-coding RNA from Earliella scabrosa, 85 nucleotides. NCBI's taxonomy places the organism in Eukaryota, Fungi, Basidiomycota, Agaricomycetes, Polyporales, Polyporaceae. The record is from the annotation of a GenBank genome assembly.